Frankliniella occidentalis (western flower thrips) is the source of this 1354-nucleotide RNA transcript. RefSeq lists it as uncharacterized. The record is from RefSeq and is a predicted model, not a curated record. Lineage: Eukaryota; Metazoa; Arthropoda; Insecta; Thysanoptera; Thripidae. The transcript has 2 exons.
UGUUCAAUACUUGUUUUAUCUGUGAUGUUUCCGAAACCCAGUGCAAUUAUAUAUCUGCUACUGAUAUUAAUUUGUUAUUGUGUUCCAAAAAUGUCCUAACUCUUCGCUGAUCUAUGUGAUGAGAUUUAUAUUUUAUUUUUGGUCUAUUCAUUACAUUAUUUAGACAGGAAAAAUUGAGAGACAAAGAUCACCAGGGGUUGAACAUUGCUGCUCAGGUAGGGAGAGGCUUUUGGCCCACCGUGCCCAUUCUCUUGCAACCUUUUGUUUUGAUUUCUUGUAGUCUGGGUCGGGGAAUGGCAUCUGCCAUUCGACAAUACUCUUUGUGAUUUUGCAGCAGUAGCAUUUGCUACGGAUUACAUGGCUGCGAAUCUGCAAAUGCUGCAUACUGCUAACGGAGUAGUAUAUGCGUUUUUUUGUACUUCUUUUUGCCUCUCACCUCCCAACAACGCGACGCUCUCGGACACCGGUUGCCGGGCAACCAGUGCCAAGCAGACGCGCAGCCCGAUGGCGCGACGUCGCGUCGCGUUUGGCGGGCUCGGCCCCGAAGCACGCGAAGCACGUCGCGACGCCGUCCGACGUCACUUUCGAGAUCGUUCCAUGGACUCGGUCAGGGACUCGGCGUCCGCCGGAGACUGGAGUCGCCCCGGCACGCCGUCCGGCGCCAGCCAGGACGCCGACGACAGCGGCAGCGAGGAGUGAGUACGAGCGAGGAGCCGGCGGUGUGCGCCGACCUGGCCAGGGAGCGCGCGCUGGUGCCGCACAUGCACCAUCCUCUGGUACUGCUGGUCAAGAGGCAGAUACGGCGCCUGGAGUCCGAGACCCUGGUGCUGACGCCGAGGCUGUCGCUGCCGGCGCCGGCGGCGCUGUGCCCAGCCGCCCGCGGCCCGCUCGCCCUGCACGUCGAGCACCCCCUGCUGAUGCACGCGCUGGUGGUGCUGGCCCCCGUCCUGGCGCUGCUCGUCGUGGUGCUCCUGUCCGCCGUGGCCGCCACUCUCGGGGCGCUGGCCUCGCCCUGGCAGCCGCCGCCGCCGCGGGAGCCGUCCUGCCUCAGCCGCCUGCUCGCCGCCUUCCUACCCUCCUGGAGCAGCCACGACGACCCGCCUCUCGUCCGGCCAUUCUAACAACAUUCUAAGAACUGACGGACAACAAUUAGUUUAAUGUUUUUAUGCGCCCCAGUGCACGUAUGGUUCUCUUACCAUGUUCUUACGCCUCAAUGUGUCUAAGGGCGGUUUUAGUUUAUACCCUCUAACAUAGGAAGUCAGUAGGAUUAAUUUUACAUACUUUCGUACUAUUGAAUUUUACAAUUUUAUUUUGUUCGUGCUCGACAUGUCAACUUUGUAAGUGUCAAGUACUC